UCAAUUUAAAAUCCAACAAAUAUAUGGAGGGUUAUUUCAUGCUGCUAUUUUAAUGAGGACCAAUGAAUCAUCCAAAUUCAUAUUUACAAUUUUGGGGCAACUCAUGGGAAUUAGUCAAUACUAAAAAGAAUGGUAGUAUAGCUCUCGGGAGAAAUUUCAUAUAACUCCAUUGCUGGUUCUUUGGUGUCAUAAUUUCAGCAUACAUGUGAAUAUUAAAUCAACCUCGCGUACCUAAAGAAAUUAGGAAAAACACUAAGGCUGGAGUGCGGCUCACGUGUCCUCGUCAGUUUCGGCAUGACCAAUGCAUCCUCGCCCAUUGUGGCGCGACCCCUACAUCCUUGGUGGCGGCCCUGGCACCCACAUCCAGCUGCAUCCAUGCUUGGGCCAUAAUGUCAAGCUCAAGAAUUUUGCACCAUGUCUUCUCCUUUGGCCCUACACCAACGUUUA
Molecule: ribosomal RNA, 447 nt
Filed under: Triticum aestivum (bread wheat)
Lineage: Eukaryota; Viridiplantae; Streptophyta; Magnoliopsida; Poales; Poaceae
Description: partial small subunit ribosomal RNA
Source: RNAcentral